Molecule: ribosomal RNA, 609 nt
Filed under: Lodderomyces metapsilosis
Lineage: Eukaryota; Fungi; Ascomycota; Pichiomycetes; Serinales; Debaryomycetaceae
Description: Candida metapsilosis partial large subunit ribosomal RNA
Rfam family: Eukaryotic large subunit ribosomal RNA
Source: RNAcentral
AAAAGCGGAGGAAAAGAAACCAACAGGGAUUGCCUUAGUAGCGGCGAGUGAAGCGGCAAAAGCUCAAAUUUGAAAUCUGGCACUUUCAGUGUCCGAGUUGUAAUUUGAAGAAGGUAUCUUUGGGUCUGGCUCUUGUCUAUGUUUCUUGGAACAGAACGUCACAGAGGGUGAGAAUCCCGUGCGAUGAGAUGACCCAGACCUAUGUAAAGUUCCUUCGAAGAGUCGAGUUGUUUGGGAAUGCAGCUCUAAGUGGGUGGUAAAUUCCAUCUAAAGCUAAAUAUUGGCGAGAGACCGAUAGCGAACAAGUACAGUGAUGGAAAGAUGAAAAGAACUUUGAAAAGAGAGUGAAAAAGUACGUGAAAUUGUUGAAAGGGAAGGGCUUGAGAUCAGACUUGGUAUUUUGUAUGUUACUCUUUCGGGGGUGGCCUCUACAGUUUACCGGGCCAGCAUCAGUUUGGGCGGUAGGAGAAUUGCAAAGAAAUGUGGCACUGCCUCGGUAGUGUGUUAUAGUCUUUGUCGAUACUGCCAGCCUAGACUGAGGACUGCGGCUUCGGCCUAGGAUGUUGGCAUAAUGAUCUUAAGUCGCCCGUCUUGAACCACGGACCAAAG